AAGCCUUUUGGUUAAAAUUUUUUAAUAUUAUAUACUGCUUAUUUCUGGCAUGUAUUAGAUUCAGUUUUAGUAAGCCAUGUAUCUAAGUUGGUCUAAAAUAAUUGGUGAUGGUCUAAGAUGUUUCUGAACUUGGAUACCAUGUGCAUAUCACUGGUGAUGGUUUUGAUGACUUUAUUUGGAUAGAAUCUCUUGUAUUCCUUUGCGUUUGGAUAUGGAUCGUGCAUAAAAAAUGGUUUGACAAUUUUAUUUCAAGGUGGUCGUUAUUUUAUUUUUGUUUUUCUAGUUUUGCUACUGCUGUUACCCCUCUCUCUCUCUCUCAUGUGGGCGCACACACACACAGAUAAGGAUAAUUUAUACUGUGUUGAGAUACUGAAAACUGCUUCCUACCUUUUUAAAAAAAUUUCUUGUGAGAAAUAAUAGUACGGGGUCAAUUUUUGAUGACAAUUGAGCCAAGUGUUCCCACUUUUUUUCUUUGUGAAAUAUCGGUGAGAUGCUAGCCAUAGGCCCUUCUACUUAUCAGUCUUUGUCCUUCUCCUUGUCUAUCUGUAAAGCUUUAUAAAGUGUACCUUAUUCAGGUGUCUUGUACAUUUCUCAUUGUGACAGUGU
Molecule: long non-coding RNA, 606 nt
Filed under: Manihot esculenta (cassava)
Lineage: Eukaryota; Viridiplantae; Streptophyta; Magnoliopsida; Malpighiales; Euphorbiaceae
Description: long non-coding RNA (MESC_LNC002079)
Source: RNAcentral